AUACGUAGGUGGCAAGCGUUGUCCGGAUUUACUGGGUGUAAAGGGCGUGCAGCCGGGGAAGCAAGUCAGGUGUGAAAUGCAGAGGCUUAACCUCUGAAUUGCAUUUGAAACUGUUUUUCUUGAGUACUGGAGGGGCAAUCGGAAUUCCUAGUGUAGCGGUGAAAUGCAUAGAUAUCACGAAGAACUCCGAUCGCGAAGGCAGCCUUCCGGCCCGUCAACGACGCUCAUGCUCGAAGGUGCGGGUAUCAAACAGGAUUAGAUACCCUGGUAGUCCGCACAGUAAACGAUGGACACCCGCGGUUUGGCCUGUAUGGCUGAGCCGCCAAGCGAAAGCGUUAAGUGUCCCACCUGGGGAGUACGCCGGCAACGGUGAAACUCAAAGGAAUUGACGGGG
This 394-nucleotide ribosomal RNA is filed under the name uncultured bacterium. Its description in RNAcentral is "partial 16S ribosomal RNA". It matches the Rfam family "Bacterial small subunit ribosomal RNA", at positions 523 to 918 of the family's 1533-position model. The record is from RNAcentral.